CGUUUCUAUGUGUGUAUGUGUACAAGAACAUGCUUGUACAUGCAUACACACACACACACACACACACACACACACACACACACACACACACAUA
This 94-nucleotide microRNA precursor is filed under the name Pteropus vampyrus (large flying fox). Its description in RNAcentral is "miRNA (ENSPVAG00000025711.1)". Lineage: Eukaryota; Metazoa; Chordata; Mammalia; Chiroptera; Pteropodidae. The record is from RNAcentral.